AGUCGAGCGGGGGAGUUUGUUUCAGUAAUUGACCUACCGGCGGACGGGUGAGUAAUACUUAAGCAUUCUGNCUAUUAAUGGGGGACAACAUCUCGUUAAGGGAUGCUACUACCGCAUACGCCCUACUGGGGUAAAGCAGGGUGAUCACUUGUGACCUUGCAUUAAUAAAUGAGCCUACCUCUNAUUAGCUAGUUGGGGGGGUAAAGGCCUACCAAGGCNACGAUCUGUAUCGGGACUGAGAGGAUGAUCCNCCUGACUGGGACUGACACACGGCCCACACUCCUACGGGAGGCANCAGUGGNNAAUAUUGGAGAAUGGGGGGAACCCUGAUCCAUCCNUGCCGCGUGNGUGAAGAACGCCUUAUGGUUGUAAGGNUCUUUACGCGAGGAGGAGGCUCUUCUGGUUAAUACCUGAGAGGACUGGACGUUACUCGNACAAUAAGCUCCGGGUAACUCUGUGCCAGCAUCCGCGGUAAUACAGAGGGUGCGAGCGUUANUCGGAUUUACUGGGCGUAAAGCGUGCGUUNUGCGNCUUUUUAAAUCGGAUGUNAAUUCCCCGAGCUUAACUUGGGAAUUGCAUUCGAUACUGGUAAGCUAGAGUAUGGGAGAGGAUGGUAGAAUUCCANNUGNGUAGCGGUNGAAAUGNCUAGAGAUCUGGAGUGAAUACCGAUGGCGAAGGCCANCCAUCUGACCUNAUUACNUGACGCUGACGUACGAAAGCAUNGNGGAGCAAACACGAUNAGAUACCCUNGCCAGUCCAUGNCNGAAAACAAUGUCUACUAGACCGUUGGGGCCUUUGAGGCUUUAGUNGGCGCAUCUAACGCGAUAAAGUAGANUCCGCCUGGGGAGUUCGGUCGCAAGACUAAAANUNAAAUGAAUUGACGGGGGCCCGCACNAGCGGUGGAGCAUGUGGUUUAAUUNUGAUGCAACGCGAAGAACCUUACCUGGUCUUGNCAUAGUAAGAACUUUCCAGAGAUGGNUUGUUNCCUUCGGGANNUUACANACAGGUGCUNCAUGNCNNUCNUCAGNUCGUNUCGUGAGAUGNUGGGUUAANUCCCNCANCGAGCNCANCCCUUUUCNUUAUUUCCCAGCANUUCGGNUGGGAACUUUAACNAUACUGCCAGUGACAAACUGGAGGAAGGCGGGGANGACGUCAAGUCAUCAUGGCCCUUACGCCCAGGGCUACACACGUGCUACAAUGGUCGGUACAAAGAGGNUGCNACCUAGCGAUCGGAUGCUAAUCUCAAAAACCCGAUCCUAGUCCGGAUUGGA
RNAcentral lists this ribosomal RNA (1271 nucleotides) under gamma proteobacterium RBE2CD-25. RNAcentral's name for it is "partial 16S ribosomal RNA". It matches the Rfam family "Bacterial small subunit ribosomal RNA", at positions 60 to 1302 of the family's 1533-position model. Lineage: Bacteria; Pseudomonadati; Pseudomonadota; Gammaproteobacteria. The record is from RNAcentral.